UGAGGAAUAUUGGUCAAUGGGCGCAAGCCUGAACCAGCCAAAUCGCGUGAAGGAAGACAGCCCUACGGGUUUUAAACUUCUUUUGUAAGGGAAUAAAAAAAGUUACGCGUAACUUCUUGCACGUACCUUACGAAUAAGCAUCGGCUAACUCCGUGCCAGCAGCCGCGGUAAUACGGAGGAUGCGAGCGUUAUCCGGAUUUAUUGGGUUUAAAGGGUGCGUAGGCGGAGACCUAAGUCAGCGGUGAAAUCUCGAGGCUCAACCUCGAACCUGCCGUUGAAACUGAGUCCCUUGAGUAUAGAUGAAGUAGGCGGAACUCGUUGUGUAGCGGUGAAAUGCAUAGAUAUAACGAAGAACCCCGAUUGCGUAGGCAGCUUACUAAACUAUCACUGACGCUGAGGC
This 400-nucleotide ribosomal RNA is filed under the name uncultured bacterium. RNAcentral describes it as "bacterial SSU rRNA". It matches the Rfam family "Bacterial small subunit ribosomal RNA", at positions 355 to 752 of the family's 1533-position model. The record is from RNAcentral.